UUUUUCAAUAUCGCUGAUAUACCAAUUCAUUUUUUACAAAUUCUUAAAUAUUUUUGAUAGUAGAGUGAAAGAAGACAGCUCUUCCAUCGCUUUUAAACAUUUUUUAAUCAAUAUGCGUGUCCAAAUAGUAGUUGUAAUCUACUAGACCAAACCACAGAUGAUGAAGAUUUAACUCCAACUUUUGGAUUUUCACAUAUUUUAUAUUUUAAAUAAUACUUUUUAAUUUGUUUAAAACACUAGCAUUACAAAAGUUUAAUAUAGUUUUUAGUUUUAGUUUUUAAUUUUUUAUAAAACUUUCAAGAUUUUAUUUACAGUUUUUGUUUUAUUAAAGUUAUUUAGUUGUAUCAUUGCUUAUGAUAGUUUAAACAUGUAUAAAUAUUUUUGUUGUUUUUGUUUCUUAGUAUGCUUGUUAGGCAGGGCAACCAUAUUGUUGGGUGAAUUUUUUUUUAAUGUUUUGCUAAAGUUAAUAAGUUAAUAUUAUAGUAGAUUAUAGUAAAAAAAGUAAUUAUAUUAGGUGAUAUUUCUCUUUUACUGACUUAAAUUUAAAAUAUACAAAGUAAAGGCAUAAAGAUCAAAGAGUAAACAUUUAGUUAAUAAAUUGUUCAAAUUAAAAAGUAAUUUAUGCAAAAGCACGUUUCAAAAAGAUGUUUUCAGAUUUAGUGCUGUAUUAGUUAAAGAUUUCAUUAGCAUUGCAAUAUGGCGCUUAAAGUUUUGAUUUCUUUGUAUAAUCUGAAAUAGAUUAUAAUAGAUAUAAGUUAUAAAAUUUAUAGCUUUUAUAGGUUAUGAAAUUUAUAAUAGAUGUAGGUUAUAAUAAAUUAUACUGAAAUUUAUAGGUUAAGCUUAAAUUGUGAAAGUUUUAUUUAAACAUUAAUUCAAUCAAGUGAUUUAUUCAAAAGUGAUUUUCUAUAAAUCUGUUUAAGUUGAAUUUUAUAGUUUUUAUAGUUCAAUUUUAGUAUUAGACAGUUUUUUAAUAUAUAAAGUAAUGAAAACAUCUGCUAACGAUGGUAAGUGUUGAUUAAAUAAAGUAUUGUAGUUUAUAACUUUUUAGUUUAUGUUUAGUAGAAAUUUAUAUGCAUAUCUUUAUCAUUUGAUAGUUUAUUUUAAGUUAAAACUUUACUUUUUUUAGCAUCAGACCAGAGAUUUGCACUAAUAUUUGCAGAAUUAGCCGCUUUAAGAGCAGAAUUAAACAAAGAUAGGAACUCUAAAGAUGCAUCAAGCUUACCAACUGAUCAGGGUUCUUCAGUCAUAUCAACACCUCCGGCUCAGGAAGAAGUCAACAACCUCUCUAGUUCAACAAGUAAGUAAAUUGUUAACAAUUUCAAACACCAAUUAAUUACUAUUGAAAAUGGUUACAAAAAUUAAAUCCAUUUAUCAAGUUAUGGUAUUAAUCACCUAAGGUAGAACUGGGAGCCGCAAGGGUCGCGGACAAGGUGGCCGAGGAGGUGGCGGUAAAGGGUCUUUUGUACUAGGGCGUUUGUGUUUUCAGCUCUAGUUUUUAUUUUAUGUGCAGUUUUAUACUUAUUUAUGUUGAUGUUGUUGCUUUAUAAUUUUAUAUAUGUAUUUUUUAUUUGAAGUAAAAAAGAACAACAUUUCUUAUUUAA
Molecule: long non-coding RNA, 1601 nt
Organism: Hydra vulgaris (swiftwater hydra)
Lineage: Eukaryota; Metazoa; Cnidaria; Hydrozoa; Anthoathecata; Hydridae
Source: RefSeq, a predicted model, not a curated record